UACAGAGGGUGCGAGCGUUGUUCGGAAUUAUUGGGCGUAAAGGGCGCGUAGGCGGUGCGGUAAGUCACCUGUGAAAUCUCCUGGCUCAACUGGGAGCUUGCAGGCGAAACUGCCGUGCUGGAGUGUGGGAGAGGUGCGUGGAAUUCCCGGUGUAGCGGUGAAAUGCGCAGAUAUCAGGAAGAACACCCGUGGCGAAAGCGGCUCUCUGGAACGGUACUGACGCUGAGACGCGAAAGCGUGGGGAGCGAACAGG
This 253-nucleotide ribosomal RNA is filed under the name uncultured bacterium. Its description in RNAcentral is "partial 16S ribosomal RNA". It matches the Rfam family "Bacterial small subunit ribosomal RNA", at positions 524 to 776 of the family's 1533-position model. The record is from RNAcentral.